ACACGUGGGUAACCUGCCUUAUAGUGGGGGAUAGCCUUUCGAAAGGAAGAUUAAUACCGCAUAAGAUCGUAGUAUCGCAUGAUAUAGCAAUUAAAGGAGCAAUUCGCUAUAAGAUGGACCCGCGUCGCAUUAGCUAGUUGGUGAGGUAAUGGCUCACCAAGGCGACGAUGCGUAGCCGACCUGAGAGGGUGAACGGCCACAUUGGGACUGAGACACGGCCCAGACUCCUACGGGAGGCAGCAUG
RNAcentral lists this ribosomal RNA (244 nucleotides) under uncultured bacterium. RNAcentral's name for it is "partial 16S ribosomal RNA". It matches the Rfam family "Bacterial small subunit ribosomal RNA", at positions 113 to 353 of the family's 1533-position model. The record is from RNAcentral.